GUCACUCCUACGGGAGGCAGCAGUGGGGAAUAUUGCACAAUGGGGGAAACCCUGAUGCAGCCAUGCCGCGUGUGUGAAGAAGGCCUUCGGGUUGUAAAGCACUUUCAGUAGGGAGGAAGGUAGUGUAGUUAACACCUGCAUUAUUUGACAUUACCUACAGAAGAAGCACCGGCUAACUCCGUGCCAGCAGCCGCGGUAAUACGGAGGGUGCGAGCGUUAAUCGGAAUUACUGGGCGUAAAGCGCAUGCAGGCGGCCUGUUAAGUCAGAUGUGAAAGCCCGGGGCUUAACCUCGGAAUUGCAUUUGAAACUGGCAGGCUAGAGUCUUGUAGAGGGGGUAGAAUUUCAGGUGUAGCGGUGAAAAUGCGUAGAGAUCUGAAGGAAUACCAGUGGCGAAGGCGGCCCCCUGGACAAAGACUGACGCUCAGAUGCGAAAGCGUGGGGAGCAAACAGGAUUAGAUACCCUGGUAG
This 469-nucleotide ribosomal RNA is filed under the name uncultured bacterium. RNAcentral describes it as "bacterial SSU rRNA". It matches the Rfam family "Bacterial small subunit ribosomal RNA", at positions 332 to 793 of the family's 1533-position model. The record is from RNAcentral.